RNAcentral lists this ribosomal RNA (257 nucleotides) under uncultured bacterium. RNAcentral describes it as "partial 16S ribosomal RNA". It matches the Rfam family "Bacterial small subunit ribosomal RNA", at positions 333 to 586 of the family's 1533-position model. The record is from RNAcentral.
GGAUUCCUACGGGGGGCAGCAGUGAGGAAUAUUGGUCAAUGGGCGGAAGCCUGAACCAGCCAAGUCGCGUGAGGGAAUAAGGCCCUACGGGUCGUAAACCUCUUUUGCCGGGGAGCAAGGGCCGGGACGCGUCCCGGCCCGGAGAGUACCCGGAGAAAAAGCAUCGGCUAACUCCGUUCCAGCAGCCGCGGUAAUACGGAGGAUGCGAGCGUUAUCCGGAUUUAUUGGGUUUAAAGGGUGCGUAGGCGGGCUUUUAA